AAAUUGAAGAGUUUGAUCAUGGCUCAGAUUGAACGCUGGCGGCAGGCCUAACACAUGCAAGUCGAACGGUAACAGGAAGCAGCUUGCUGCUUUGCUGACGAGUGGCGGACGGGUGAGUAAUGUCUGGGAAACUGCCUGAUGGAGGGGGAUAACUACUGGAAACGGUGGCUAAUACCGCAUAAUGUCGCAAGACCAAAGAGGGGGACCUUCGGGCCUCUUGCCAUCAGAUGUGCCCAGAUGGGAUUAGCUUGUUGGUGAGGUAACGGCUCACCAAGGCGACGAUCCCUAGCUGGUCUGAGAGGAUGACCAGCCACACUGGAACUGAGACACGGUCCAGACUCCUACGGGAGGCAGCAGUGGGGAAUAUUGCACAAUGGGCGCAAGCCUGAUGCAGCCAUGCCGCGUGUAUGAAGAAG
Molecule: ribosomal RNA, 416 nt
Filed under: Salmonella enterica subsp. enterica
Lineage: Bacteria; Pseudomonadati; Pseudomonadota; Gammaproteobacteria; Enterobacterales; Enterobacteriaceae
Description: bacterial SSU rRNA
Rfam family: Bacterial small subunit ribosomal RNA
Source: RNAcentral